AAUCCUCUGGAGCGCUUCGGCAACGGAAUUAUUCCACUGCGGCGCCAAGACAGAUCGGCCGUCCUGUCAAGAAGACUGCGAGCUAGUGCAGUGACUGUCGUAUUACUCCUUGCAUGAGCCAGUUGUUGACGGGCAUACAUGUAUUGUUCGCGCGAGUGCACCAAAACUGCUAUUGGCGCCAGAGCAUUUACGUGUUUCUCGCGGCUGAUCGUACACAGCCGCAUCAGUUCAAGCACGGCACGAUACAUAACUGCGGUGGACUUCAAACCUAUGAAAAGAAAACAACGACGAAGAUUCCUGCGAUUAGUGCGUGUAUUGCCUGUGUGCGUGUAUUUCAUGUGCAAGCACCGGCAGUCGCCCGCAUUCGCGCGGUUUGCACUUGGGUAGAUCAUCACUGACUGCGCUAAUCCAAGGACGGCGAAGCACACCGCAGCAAGGCGAUCAUCUCUAUAAACGAGCAGGAACCAGGCUGCCAACACAAGCACGCAGAGCAACUGCCUUUCCAAGUGUGCUGUGUUUGAUGCGCUUGCAUUGGUGUGCAAGUGAAUAACUCCAGUUAAUGUGUUGUGCUGCACUACAAUAGUUGUCACAAUAUUCUGGCUAAGAUGUAUAUCCUACCGCAUCUGACAUCCUAUCAGCUAAAACAUCAUCACUAAAAGCAGUUUGACUGCAUGCAUUUGUCUUCAGAGACACGGUGUAGCUGAAGUGAGAGUAUUUUUUAUCCAGGUUCCUGUUCUUCAGCCAUAUUUAUUAUUAUAGCACGUACCCAUUAAUAAUUUCUGGUCAAUCCAAGUGCCAUCAUUUUUUUCUAAAACAACUUAACAUUAUGCUCGUCUUUUAGCACUUUGGUAGUAUGCAAAUACAGCUUGACCUCUUAUCUUGCAAACAGAAGCAGUAGUAUUGCUUACAAAUAUAUUCUAGACUAACACUCCACCUGUAUUCUAGACAGUAGCCUGUCGGGUGUAGGCACCCGACCAUGUGUAAUGGUAAACCCUUGCAGAGUAUGUGCAGUUUCUGCUCUGGUUUUAGCUUCAGCUUAGGAUGAAUUAUGAGGGUCGCAACAAUGAAUUUCUUCCAUUGGAUAGGGAUGACAGCUGGUUUCCAUAGGGCUUGCAGAACUUCUCCAAUUGACCGAGGAACAAAAUGCAGGGUAGCAGCGUGUCUUGUAGGAUUCCAAAUUAGGCCAAAUGAUGAUGCAGGAUGUCACAAUGAUGAUCCUAAAAGAUACAGUAUAGAGUGCAUCACUACCGUUACUUCAGGCAAGCUGCGAUUAACCAUAAAAUUAUGGAAUAUUUCUUAACGUACACUAGCUCAUGCUACGAAACUGCUGCAGUAAAAAAGCUCACAUCGUAAUCGCAACGCAUCAUGGGCAACUCAUGACUUCGCACAUCAUAAUCAUGAAUAUAUGGUCUCCAAAACAAGCUUAUAUGACAGUUGAACAGGAAUAAAGUAUGCAUUUCAUUUCAUUAUGA
Long non-coding RNA from Dermacentor andersoni, 1472 nucleotides. RefSeq lists it as uncharacterized. The record is from RefSeq and is a predicted model, not a curated record. NCBI's taxonomy places the organism in Eukaryota, Metazoa, Arthropoda, Arachnida, Ixodida, Ixodidae.